GCACUGCUGAGGAGUUCCACAAUAGAACGAAACGGUCAGCCGUCCAGUGC
Molecule: non-coding RNA, 50 nt
Organism: Schistosoma haematobium
Lineage: Eukaryota; Metazoa; Platyhelminthes; Trematoda; Strigeidida; Schistosomatidae
Source: Rfam